CUUGAUCAUCGCGCCAAAACAGAUUUCCCUGGCUGGUCAUUACCAUCGUGAAACAGAGCGCAGGGAUACGCCCAAGUAUUAAAUGCACGUAGACUUUUAUUUAUUCCGUUUCUCCCUGGGUUUUUUGGGCAGUCAUUGAAAGUUAUAUAUCCAUAUCACGGCAACCACCACCACACGUAUAACUGGGGUGUUUUUUUUUUAAACUUUUUUGUUGUCAUGUGAAAACAUUUUACCUUGGCCAUCCUAAAUGUUUAAAAAAGGAAAAACAGGAGCCAGUUUCUUGUGUUAGCAGCUGCGUGCAUCUAUAACUCGCUUCGUUUCUUUUCUUUCAUUAAAAAUGGCGUCAGAAAGUGCCGUCAUAGUUCCGCUGGUAUGGUUUUAAAAACAAGAAAAUUGGGCGACUAUUAUAUACGUGAGAGAGAGAGAGAAAUCUUAUCUUUUGUGUGUGGCUUAUUGAUGGCAUGAUCACUGAGACAGAUCCACCAGCCAACAACAUACACGGAUGUUGUAUUGUGUGGGUUUUGCGGUCCCCCCUCCCGGUUGUGUGUUGUGUGUACAUGUAGAAAGUUGAGCUACAUCGCCCUCCAAUUAGUUUCAUUAAUAGGCUAGCUGGGUAGUGGUGAUGAUGUAAGAACAUCCUACCCCACUUUUGAACCCCCAUUAUGAGCUGCGGAAUUUCACUGAUGAUGCACCACAUAAAAGAUAAUUUCGUUAUCUUUUAGCUACAUAUAGGUGUGUAUUUGUACAGCAUGUAAUAAGCACGCGAAGCUAUAGUAUCUAGUUGAUUCCAAUGUCACUUUCGAUCGAUAAAUGCUAGACGUCCGGAGUGUAUCCAGCGUAUAUGGGUAUAUCUACUCUUUUUUUGACCGGAUACUGAUAGUAACAAUCCCGGCAACAUCCGCCUCACGUCAGUUGUUCGGGACCAUCGAUCAAUCAAGUACAAAAAAAAAAAAAACAAAAAGAUACUCCGCAUGGAUGUAUUGAUGUAAGGAGGGCAAAGAAGUCUAUAUAACAGUCAACGAUCCUUUACACGCUUCGUAUACAACUCAUCCAUCAUCGACACUUUUGUUUUUUCCUGUGGAUUUUUUUCUUUGCGAUAUUUUGGCCAAGCCAAUAGGGGGGUUUGUGUUUUUGUUUUGGCUAGCAAUAAAAUGUAAUUGCGCGGAUAUUUACUGUCUUUUUCGACGUGUACAAGUUCUUAUUCGGAUUAUAGAGUGCUUGUAACACAAUCUAGUGUGUUCACUAGUUGGAUAUCACCUUCAUUUUUGCUCAUUUGAAUUAAAAACUUGGAUAUCUUAUUUUUAUACCAAUUUUUUAACUUACUAUUUUUACAGUUUUUGAGUUUGUUACCUUUUUGGCGGGAAAGAGUACAAGUACAUUUGGCAACGGCGCUAAUGGCUGCACGAAAAUCAGCACAAAAUUACAAAAAUUUGGUCGACAAGACAGGUCGUCCGUCGUGUUAUUAGAAUAUCUGAUCUGAUUGCGUCUCUUCAUAACAGAACAGCUUAACACACACACACCGUGCUGGUUAGCAGAUUUGACACCUGAGCCAACCAGAAAUGCAAGUUUAACUUGUGCUGGUAUCAACCUGUCAUCAGCAACAAUCUCAGUAUAUCAUCACUAGGAUAAUCAGCAUCCCAUUGGUCUGGAUUAUCUAACAAUGUCUGGGGACUCAACUCUUCUCCCCUUCUUUGAAUCCCGCCUGCUGUCCUCGUGCACAUACUCUGAGUGUGGGUGGAUUCACGUGGGACUCGUCUCUCGCCUGGCGUUUUCAACUUUUCUGCUGACGGAGCAACUUGUGGAUGCCUGGCCGUAAUUCCCAGGGCUUAAAAGUAGGGAAAAGAAACUUUUAGAGACAGGAUACUGCAAAGGAGGCUAUCAACUCUUUCGAGGCCGUCCAUAGAAAUGGUUGGCCUUGGUGGUUCCAAAUCAUUCUGGGAGUGCUGCAUGUUGGCUGCUUGUUUUUUAAUUGAUGAGCUUCUAAAUUUUCUAAUGCUUCCACGGUGAAAUGAUUUGACUUGAUUGAGCCCGUCGUUGUUUAUUCAUUCAAAGCGUAUAGAAAUUCGCGAGAAUUCAGAUUAAAAAAUCCUGUUCACUUGUUUUGGCCAUGGUUGGUUUGGCUACUUUGAUUCAAUUCACUUAUCUAUCUGGGUCCGCGAUUAAUUGAAUUAAUGGUUUCUUUUUCCUGAAAAUCUGUCGCGAUAAAUCCUACGCGCACAGCCUGCUAAGUAGCUGCUGCGUUGAUGGUGAAUAAUAAACCAAACGGGUUGACAUUUUGUUUGAAAUCACGGCUGCAGCUUGCGACCAACUGUGAUGGGAUAUUCCUUUAGCAGCUUAUCAGUUUAAAAUUAAAAAAAAAAAAAAAAAAAGUUUCAGCGUGAACAGACCGGUUUGAAUGAUAAUCGGUUUUCCCUCGAAUCUGUUAGCGCGCGAGGGAGCCAUUUUUCUCAACGCCACAAAAUUUCCAGUUAAACGGAAAAUGUUGUGUAAUCUUUUCCCCCCUUCACCAUUUUUAUUUGACCAUUCGAGGCUUUCCCCCCCCCCCCCCCCCACUCAUUUCUAUAUGUAGUGAGUCAUCCGCUCCAUUACCUGCUGCUCUCCGGGGUUAUUCGGGACUUUUUCUUUUU
RNAcentral lists this long non-coding RNA (2627 nucleotides) under Daphnia pulicaria. RNAcentral describes it as "uncharacterized LOC124337415". Lineage: Eukaryota; Metazoa; Arthropoda; Branchiopoda; Diplostraca; Daphniidae. The record is from RNAcentral.